AACCAUAGAAACCUGCGGAGUACCUGCGGAGGGAUCAUUACAGAGUUCAUGCCCUCACGGGUAGAUCUCCCACCCUUGAAUACUAUACCUUUGUUGCUUUGGCGGGCCGCUUUGGCUACUGGCUCUGGCUAGUAAGUGCCCGCCAAAGAACCCCAAAACUCUGAAUAUUAGUGUCGUCUGAGUACUAUAUAAUAGUUAAAACUUUUAGCAACGGAUCU
This 218-nucleotide unclassified non-coding RNA is filed under the name soil metagenome. Its description in RNAcentral is "partial contains 5.8S ribosomal RNA, internal transcribed spacer 2, and large subunit ribosomal RNA". The record is from RNAcentral.